GACGAACGCUGGCGGCGUGCUUAACACAUGCAAGUCGAACGGAAAGGCCCUGCUUUUGUGGGGUGCUCGAGUGGCGAACGGGUGAGUAACACGUGAGUAACCUGCCCUUGACUUUGGGAUAACUUCAGGAGACUGGGGCUAAUACAGGAUAGGAGCUCCUGAUGCAUGGUGGGGGUUGGAAAGUUUCGGCGGUUGGGGCUGGACUCGCGGCUUAUCAGCUUGUUGGUGGGGUAGUGGCUUACCAAGGCUGUGACGGGUAGCCGGCCUGAGAGGGUGACCGGCGACAUUGGGACCGAGAUACGGCGCAGACUCCUACGGGAGGCAGCAGUGGGGAAUAUUGCACAAUGGGCGGAAGCCUGAUGCAGCAACGCCGCGUGCGGGAUGACGGCUUUCGGGUUGUAAACCGCUGUCGCCUGAGACGAAGCGUGAUUGACGGUAAUGGGUAAAGAAGCACCGGCUAACUACGUG
RNAcentral lists this ribosomal RNA (468 nucleotides) under uncultured bacterium. RNAcentral's name for it is "partial 16S ribosomal RNA". It matches the Rfam family "Bacterial small subunit ribosomal RNA", at positions 28 to 507 of the family's 1533-position model. The record is from RNAcentral.